RNAcentral lists this ribosomal RNA (1386 nucleotides) under metagenome. RNAcentral's name for it is "bacterial SSU rRNA". It matches the Rfam family "Bacterial small subunit ribosomal RNA", at positions 18 to 1373 of the family's 1533-position model. The record is from RNAcentral.
CCUGGCUCAGAACGAACGCUGGCGGCGUGCUUAAUACAUGCAAGUUGUGCGAGAAAGUUUCCUUCGGGGAGCGAGUAAAGCGGCGAACGGGUGAGUAACACGUAAGUAACCUGCCUCUGAAUUUGGGAUAACCCCGAGAAAUCGGGGCUAAUACCGGAUGUGGUCUUCGAGUCGCAUGACUUGAAGAUUAAAGGUGACCUCUUCUUGAAAGUUACUGUUCAGAGAUGGGCUUGCGCACCAUUAGCUUGUUGGUGGGGUAAUGGCCUACCAAGGCUGUGAUGGUUAGCCGACCUGAGAGGGUGAUCGGCCACAUUGGGACUGAGAUACGGCCCAGACUCCUACGGGAGGCAGCAGUAGGGAAUUUUGCGCAAUGGACGAAAGUCUGACGCAGCAACGCCGCGUGAGCGAUGAAGGCCUUCGGGUUGUAAAGCUCUGUUGAGUGGGAAGAAAAUCUCCAGGGCUAAUAUCUCUGGAGACUGACGGUACCAUUCGAGGAAGCCCCGGCUAACUACGUGCCAGCAGCCGCGGUAAUACGUAGGGGGCAAGCGUUGUUCGGAAUCACUGGGCGUAAAGGGAGUGUAGGCGGAAGAGUAAGUUAGAAGUUUAACCUGCAGGCUUAACCUGCAGCCUGCUUUUAAUACUGCUUUUCUUGAGUAUGGGAGAGGGCGAUGGAAUUCCAGGUGUAGCGGUGGAAUGCGUAGAUAUCUGGAAGAACACCAGUUGCGAAGGCGGUCGCCUGGCCCAAUACUGACACUGAGGCUCGAAAGCUAGGGGAGCAAACAGGAUUAGAUACCCUGGUAGUCCUAGCCGUAAACGAUGGACACUAGAUGCUGGAGAGGUUUUUCUUCUCAGUGUCGUAGCUAACGUAUUAAGUGUCCCGCCUGGGGAGUACGCUCGCAAGGGUGAAACUCAAAGGAAUUGACGGGGGCCCGCACAAGCGGUGGAGCAUGUGGUUUAAUUCGAUGCAACGCGAAGAACCUUACCUAGACUUGACAUGGGGGUGAAAGCUUUCAGAAAUGAGAGUCCUUCCUUCGGGAACACCCUGCACAGGUGCUGCAUGGUUGUCGUCAGCUCGUGUCGUGAGAUGUUGGGUUAAGUCCCGCAACGAGCGCAACCCUUGUCCUUAGUUGCUAACGGGUAAUGCCGAGAACUCUAAGGAGACUGCCCGGUUUAACCGGGAGGAAGGUGGGGAUGACGUCAAAUCCUCAUGGCCCUUACGUCUAGGGCUACACACGUGCUACAAUGGUCGGUACAAAGGGCUGCGAGAUCGCGAGAUUAAGCUAAUCCCACAAAACCGUCCUCAGUUCGGAUUAGAGUCUGCAAUUCGACUCUAUGAAGCUGGAAUCGCUAGUAAUCGCGGAUCAGCAUGCCGCGGUGAAUACGUCC